RNAcentral lists this ribosomal RNA (103 nucleotides) under Musa acuminata subsp. malaccensis (wild Malaysian banana). RNAcentral describes it as "Eukaryotic small subunit ribosomal RNA". It matches the Rfam family "Eukaryotic small subunit ribosomal RNA", at positions 1502 to 1604 of the family's 1831-position model. Lineage: Eukaryota; Viridiplantae; Streptophyta; Magnoliopsida; Zingiberales; Musaceae. The record is from Rfam by way of RNAcentral.
ACUGAUGUAUUCAACGAGUCUAUAACCUUGGCCGAUAGGCCUGGGUAAUCUUUGAAAAUUUUAUCGUGAUGGGGAUAGAUCAUUGCAAUUAUUGGUCUUCAAC